GAUGAACGCUGGCGGCGUGCCUAAUACAUGCAAGUCGAGCGAACAGACGAGGAGCUUGCUCCUCUGACGUUAGCGGCGGACGGGUGAGUAACACGUGGAUAACCUACCUAUAAGACUGGGAUAACUUCGGGAAACCGGAGCUAAUACCGGAUAAUAUAUUGAACCGCAUGGUUCAAUAGUGAAAGACGGUUUUGCUGACCCUUAUAGCUGGAUCCGCGCCGCAUGAGCUAGUUGGUAAGGUAACGGCUUACCAAGGCAACGAUGCGUAGCCGACCUGAGAGGGUGUACCGCCACACUGGAGCUGAGCCACGGUCCUGACUCCUACGGGAGGCAGCAGUAGGGAAUCUUCCGCAAUGGGCGAAAGCCUGACGGAGCGACGCCGCGUGAGUGAUGAAGGUCUUCGGAUCGUAAAACUGUGUUAUUAGGGAAGAACAAUUGUGUAAGUAACGAUGCACGUCUUGACGGUACCUAAUCAGAAAGCCACGGCUAACUACGUG
Molecule: ribosomal RNA, 497 nt
Filed under: uncultured bacterium
Lineage: Bacteria
Description: partial 16S ribosomal RNA
Rfam family: Bacterial small subunit ribosomal RNA
Source: RNAcentral